Molecule: small nuclear RNA, 109 nt
Organism: Pteronotus mesoamericanus
Lineage: Eukaryota; Metazoa; Chordata; Mammalia; Chiroptera; Mormoopidae
Source: RefSeq, a predicted model, not a curated record
GUGAGUCCCGCUUCGGCCGCACAUGCACUGAAAUUGGGACGAUACACAGAGAUCAGCAUGGCCCCUGCGCAAGGGUGACACGCAGACUCGUGACGCGUCCCGCAUCUUC